RNAcentral lists this ribosomal RNA (497 nucleotides) under uncultured bacterium. RNAcentral describes it as "partial 16S ribosomal RNA". It matches the Rfam family "Bacterial small subunit ribosomal RNA", at positions 28 to 507 of the family's 1533-position model. The record is from RNAcentral.
GAUGAACGCUGGCGGCGUGCCUAAUACAUGCAAGUCGAGCGAACAGACGAGGAGCUUGCUCCUCUGACGUUAGCGGCGGACGGGUGAGUAACACGUGGAUAACCUACCUAUAAGACUGGGAUAACUUCGGGAAACCGGAGCUAAUACCGGAUAAUAUAUUGAACCGCAUGGUUCAAUAGUGAAAGACGGUUUUGCUGUCACUUAUAGAUGGAUCCGCGCCGCAUUAGCUAGUUGGUAAGGUAACGGCUUACCAAGGCAACGAUGCGUAGCCGACCUGAGAGGGUGGUCGGCCACACGGGAACGGAGACACGGUCCAGACGCCUACGGGAGGCAGCAGUAGGGAAUCUUCCGCAAUGGGCGAAAGCCUGACGGAGCAACGCCGCGUGAGUGAUGAAGGUCUUCGGAUCGUAAAACUCUGUUAUUAGGGAAGAACAAAUGUGUAAGUAACUAUGCACGUCUUGACGGUACCUAAUCAGAAAGCCACGGCUAACUACGUG